GUGCCAGCCGCCGCGGUAAGACAGAGGGUGCAAACGUUGUUCGGAAUUACUGGGCGUAAAGCGCGUGUAGGCGGUUUCGCAAGUCGGAUGUGAAAUCCCGUGGCUCAACCAUGGAAGUGCACUCGAAACUGCGUGACUAGAGUUCUGGAGAGGAAGGUGGAAUGCUUGGUGUAGAGGUGAAAUUCGUAGAUAUCAAGCAGAACACCGGUGGCGAAGGCGACCUUCUGGACAGUGACUGACGCUGAGACGCGAAAGCGUGGGGAGCAAACAGGAUUAGAAACCCCCGUAGUCC
RNAcentral lists this ribosomal RNA (292 nucleotides) under uncultured bacterium. Its description in RNAcentral is "partial 16S ribosomal RNA". It matches the Rfam family "Bacterial small subunit ribosomal RNA", at positions 505 to 796 of the family's 1533-position model. The record is from RNAcentral.